This 468-nucleotide ribosomal RNA is filed under the name uncultured bacterium. RNAcentral's name for it is "partial 16S ribosomal RNA". It matches the Rfam family "Bacterial small subunit ribosomal RNA", at positions 28 to 507 of the family's 1533-position model. The record is from RNAcentral.
GACGAACGCUGGCGGCGUGCUUAACACAUGCAAGUCGAACGGAAAGGCCCUGCUUUUGUGGGGUGCUCGAAUGGCGAAAGGGUGAGUAACCAGUGAGUAACCUGCCCUUGCCUUUGGGAUAACUUCAGGAAACUGGGGCUAAUACCGGAUAGGAGCUCCUGCUGCAUGGGGGGGGUUGGAAAGUUUCGGCGGUUGGGGAUGGACUCGCGGCUUAUGAGCUUGUGGGUGGGGUAGUGGCUUACCAAGGCUUUGACGGGUAGCCGGCCUGAGUGGGUGACCGGCCCCAUCGGGACUGAGGUAGGGCCCAGACUCCGACGGUAUGCAGCAGUGGGGAAUAUUCUGCAGCGGGCGGAAGCCGUAUGCGGUAGCGCCGUGCGGGUUAUGACGCUCUUUGGGUUGUAAACCGCUUUCGCCUGUGACGGAUGGGGAUUGACGUUAAUGGGUUAAGAAGCACCGGCUAACUACGUG